RNAcentral lists this ribosomal RNA (452 nucleotides) under uncultured bacterium. RNAcentral's name for it is "bacterial SSU rRNA". It matches the Rfam family "Bacterial small subunit ribosomal RNA", at positions 340 to 784 of the family's 1533-position model. The record is from RNAcentral.
UACGGAAGGCAGCGGUGGGGAAUAUUGCACAAUGGGCGCAAGCCUGAUGCAGCCAUGCCGCGUGUAUGAAGAAGGCCUUCGGGUUGUAAAGUACUUUCAGUCGUGAGGAAGGUGUUAAGGUUAAUAACCUUAGCAAUUGACGUUAGCGACAGAAGAAGCACCGGCUAACUCCGUGCCAGCAGCCGCGGUAAUACGGAGGGUGCGAGCGUUAAUCGGAAUUACUGGGCGUAAAGGGCACGCAGGCGGUUAAUUAAGUUGGAUGUGAAAUCCCCGGGCUUAACCUGGGAAUGGCAUUCAAGACUGGUUAGCUAGAGUCUUGUAGAGGGGGGUAGAAUUCCAUGUGUAGCGGUGAAAUGCGUAGAGAUGUGGAGGAAUACCGGUGGCGAAGGCGGCCCCUGGACAAAGACUGACGCUCAUGUGCGAAAGCGUGGGGAGCAAACAGGGAUUAGAUA